RNA transcript from Brassica oleracea var. oleracea, 3868 nucleotides. It is a transcript of the gene named DNA topoisomerase 1-like, with no coding region annotated. The record is from RefSeq and is a predicted model, not a curated record. The transcript has 23 exons. NCBI's taxonomy places the organism in Eukaryota, Viridiplantae, Streptophyta, Magnoliopsida, Brassicales, Brassicaceae.
UUUACCAGAAAUCUCCUCUCCUUCCUCCUCCGCCAUUUAGCAAAAUCUUUCUUCUUCGGAUGGAUAUACGAAAAAGCAACAGACCCACUUGUAAGACGAUUUGAAACUGUCUGAAUCAGUUAGUCUCUGUUCCCAAAUGCAGAGAACGCUCUCACUUGCGGCUGCUAAGUCUCCUUCUUCGACUUCACCUCUGUCUCUUCGUCCUCUCAUGGCUAAGUUGCAGUUGCAGUGCAGGACAAUUCAGAGUUUUCCAGCCUCAUCUUCCUCUUCAGUAGUUAGGAUUGAUAAAGUCGUUAGAAAUGUAUGCCAGCUUCAGUUUAAAAGAGAGAACGCAAGUUGUUUUACCUUAGCUUGCGCACUUCCUUCCAUCAGUUCUGUUAGUUAUGCUGCACAUUGGAGCAGCUUAACGUCUUUUGGAAGUAGUUUCAAAACGUUUCCAGGGAGAUAUUUUUCUCAAGUCCCUAAUACUGGGAAUAAGGAUAAGGUUAUCAGGAAGUUUAAUAAGAAGCAUGAGGUUUUGGCUUCCUCUGGAGUUGAAGCGGUAGUGACUUCUACUGAACCGGUUAUUGGAGAUGUUAGCAGUGGCAUCAAGGUGGAGUUAUCAACUGCACCUUCACCUGCUGCUAGCAUCGGUAAGAAAUUCUCUACUGUCAAACCAAAACGGCGCCCAAAGAGCAAGAAAGUCGAAGAUAAAUCUUCUCCAGCGGUUUCGGUUCUGGAAGAGAGUUUGAAUGCUGUUCCCAAGCCAAAAGGUUCUGGAAAUCGAAAAUCUUCAUCUGCUAAGAAGGAGGUGGCAAAAGAUCCCACUGUUGAGGAGCCCAAAAGUUCUGCCCCAUCAAAAACAGAAGCAAGCAAUCCCACUGCUAGCAAAGCUAAGCAAGCCUCUCCUGUCAAAACGAAGCGGCGGCCAAAGAGCAAGAAAGUGGAUGAUAAAUCUUCCUCAGCAGUACCAGUUACGGAGGAGGUUUCUGUAGAAGAGAGUUCAAAAAGCGUUCCCAAGCCAAAACGUUCUGGCUCUGGAAAUCGAAAGUCUUCAUCUGUUAAGAAGGAGGUGGCAAAAAGCUCUUCUCCAUCAGCAAAAGCAAGCAAUACACCAAAACAUAAGCAGGUUCCUCAAGCUCAACCCAUGCAAAACAGCAUAGAGCAUCGAGGUCAAAAUGCUUCUAAACCACUUUUUCCGCCAAGUGGAAAAUCUGUUAUUGUCGUUGAGUCAAUCACGAAAGCAAAAGUUAUUCAGGGUUAUCUUGGUGACAUGUACGAAGUUUUGCCAAGUUAUGGUCAUAUCAGAGACCUGGCCUCAAGGUCUGGUUCAGUCAGGCCAGAUGACGAUUUUAGCAUGGUUUGGGAGGUUCCAUCUUCCGCCUGGACUCAUAUUAAGAGCAUAAAGAUGGCAUUAAAUGGAGCUGAAAAUCUGAUUCUUGCAUCGGAUCCAGAUCGUGAAGGAGAGGCCAUUGCCUGGCACAUCAUUGAGAUGUUGCAGCAGCAAGGUGCCUUACAUGAGUGUAUGACAGUAGCAAGGGUUGUUUUUCAUGAGAUCACUGAGUCAGCAAUAAAAACUGCACUUCAAUCCCCACGAGAAAUUGAUGGGGACUUGGUACACGCCUAUCUCGCAAGGCGUGCUCUUGAUUACCUAAUCGGUUUUAAUAUUUCACCACUACUUUGGAGGAAACUUCCGGGUUGCCCCUCAGCUGGGCGAGUACAGUCUGCUGCUUUGGCGCUUAUAUGUGAUAGAGAAAGUGAAAUUGACGGAUUUAAACCUCAGGAGUACUGGACUGUAGGGAUCAAAGUGCAAGGGAAAGAUAGUUCAUCUACUGUUUCAGCUCACUUGACCAGUCUAAAUUCGAAAAAGUUAAAUCAGCUUUCUAUCAGCUCUGAAGCAGAUGCACAGGACAUUGAGCAAAGGAUAAGAUCAGAAGGUUUUCUAGUGAAGAGCAUUAAGAAAAGCACUACACGGAGAAAUCCACCAACUCCAUAUAUAACAUCAACCCUCCAGCAGGAUGCAGCUAACAAAUUGCAUUUUUCAUCAGCAUAUACCAUGAAGCUUGCUCAAAAACUAUACGAAGGUGUCCAACUGUCUGAUGGUAAAUCAACUGGUCUUAUAACAUACAUGCGGACAGAUGGUUUACAUAUAGCUGAUGAAGCUAUCAAGGAUAUACAGUCAUUGGUGGUAGAAAGGUAUGGGGAGAGUUUUACAUCAGAUGGUCCUCGUAAAUAUUUUAAAAAGGUUAAGAACGCUCAGGAGGCGCAUGAAGCUAUUAGACCUACCAAUAUACGUAGAUUACCAUCAACGAUUGCUAGCCUGCUUGAUUCGGAUUCUCUAAAAUUGUAUACCUUAAUAUGGUCGCGAUCUGUGGCAUGUCAGAUGGAGCCUGCUUCUGUUGUGCAGAUACAAGUUGAUAUUGGAAAUGCCUCUGAAUCAAUUAUCUUCAGAUCAUCAUGCUCAAAAGUCGUUUUUCUUGGAUACCAGGCAGUUUACGAGGACCCUGAAACUAAGACAAUCAAAACCAAAGACGAUGAAAAGAGUAGUGAGCGGGAGGAAACUUUUGAAACUCUCAGUUUGUUGAAGGAUUGGGAUCCGUUACAUAUUGGUGAAGUGGAGCUCAAGCAGCACCAUACUCAGCCCCCACCACGCUAUUCCGAAGGGUCACUGAUUAAAAAGCUUGAGGAGCUCGGGAUAGGUAGACCCUCGACAUAUGCAUCUAUAUUUAAAGUUUUACAGGACAGAAAGUACCUAACAAUAAAGAGCCGAGUACUGUAUCCGGAGUUCCGUGGGAGGAUGGUUUCAGCUUUUCUUACCAACUACUUCACUGAGGUCACAGAUUAUAGUUUUACUGCUGAUAUGGAGACCGAGCUUGACAACGUUUCUGGUGGCGUUACUAAUUGGAAAGGUCUCCUAAGAGACUACUGGACACGAUUCAGUGCGUAUUGUAAACGUGUCGAAAGUGUCCAAAUCCAACAGGUGGAGAAAAUGUUGGAAAAAAAAUACGAGGACUUUUUGUUUUCUUCCCUUCCUGAUCCUACCAGAACUUGCCCGAGAUUGUGCAGUUAUGAUUGGGUUUCUUUCCAUAUUUCAGUUGUUCGGAAGGUACCUUAAUUUUCAAAGUUAGCAAGUUUGGUACGGGGUAUUUCAUCGGCUGUGAUGGCUACCCUUCGUGCAAAUUCAUUGCAAAAACACUUUAUGGGGAGGAUGAAGAUGAAGAUGAUUCUCCAAGGAAUACCUGCGUAGAAGAGCCCAAAUUGCUGGGUCUUCAUCCCAAUACCAAUGAGAAGGUUAUUUUAAAGUGCGGCCCUUAUGGGUAUUAUGUACAGCUUGGUGAGGACAAGAAAGGACACUUACCAAAACGAGCAAAUGCAGCCCAUAUAAAGGAUGUGAGCUCUAUUACGCUUGAAAGUGCUCUCGAGUUAUUACGCUAUCCUCUGACACUGGGAACCCACCCAGAAGAUGGACAGCCUGUGACCUUGAAGCUAAGUAAAUCUGGAUUUACGGUUCGACAUCGCCGCACAAUGGCUACUGUUCCAAAGAACACUGAACCAAGUGAGGUUACUUUAGAGAAAGCACUGAAACUCUUGUCUGGCAAAAAUGUGAGACUGUGUGGCAGACCUAAGAGGGUUAAGCCAACAGUAGAUGAGGAAUCAGAAAGAGAUGAAGUUGUGGAGACGAUGUAAUCUCUAAUCCACAACGUUAAGCUGUUGAGCUAAUUUACAAUUGGUUCGUGAGCUUUCACAUAUAAAGAAGAGCAUUAGCUCUGAUAGAAAUUAUUUGAACAUUCUUUUUGGUAAGCAGAAUAAUAAUCGUAACGAAAAAGAUUGGAUACUAUUGUAAGAUUACAAUACAUUUGUUAAUGAUAUGAAAGUUUCUUUAGAAGGA